RNAcentral lists this ribosomal RNA (639 nucleotides) under Phyllosticta sp. MUCC0433. RNAcentral's name for it is "eukaryotic LSU rRNA". It matches the Rfam family "Eukaryotic large subunit ribosomal RNA", at positions 1 to 654 of the family's 3401-position model. Lineage: Eukaryota; Fungi; Ascomycota; Dothideomycetes; Botryosphaeriales; Phyllostictaceae. The record is from RNAcentral.
UUGACCUCGGAUCAGGUAGGGAUACCCGCUGAACUUAAGCAUAUCAAUAAGCGGAGGAAAAGAAACCAACUGGGAUUGCCUUAGUAACGGCGAGUGAAGCGGCAAUAGCUCAAAUUUGAAAGCUGGCGCCUUCGGCGUCCGCGUUGUAAUUUGUAGAGGAUGCUUCGGCGAGGACUCCUGCCUAAGUUCCCUGGAAUGGGACGUCACAGAGGGUGAGAAUCCCGUACGUGGCGGGCGGUCCAAGCCAUGUGAAGCUCCUUCGACGAGUCGAGUUGUUUGGGAAUGCAGCUCUAAAUGGGAGGUAAAUUUCUUCUAAAGCUAAAUACCGGCCAGAGACCGAUAGCGCACAAGUAGAGUGAUCGAAAGAUGAAAAGCACUUUGGAAAGAGAGUUAAAAAGUACGUGAAAUUGUUGAAAGGGAAGCGCUUGCAACCAGACUCGCUCGCAGUUGCUCAGCCCGCCUCUUGGUGGGUGUACUCUUCUGCGAUCGGGCCAGCAUCAGUUCGGGCGGCUGGAUAAAGGUGUCGGGAAUGUAGCACCCUUCGGGGUGUGUUAUAGCCCGGCGCGGAAUGCAGCCAGCCUGGACUGAGGAUCUCGCUUCGGCAAGGAUGCUGGCGUAAUGGUUGUAAGCGGCCCGUCU